UACGUAGGGUGCAAGCGUUAAUCGGAAUUACUGGGCGUAAAGCGUGCGUAGGCGGCUUUGCAAGACAGAUGUGAAAUCCCCGGGCUCAACCUGGGAACUGCAUUUGUGACUGCAUGGCUAGAGUGCGGCAGAGGGGGAUGGAAUUCCGCGUGUAGCAGUGAAAUGCGUAGAUAUGCGGAGGAACACCGAUGGCGAAGGCAAUCCCCUGGGCCUGCACUGACGCUCAUGCACGAAAGCGUGGGGAGCAAACAGG
RNAcentral lists this ribosomal RNA (253 nucleotides) under uncultured bacterium. RNAcentral's name for it is "partial 16S ribosomal RNA". It matches the Rfam family "Bacterial small subunit ribosomal RNA", at positions 524 to 776 of the family's 1533-position model. The record is from RNAcentral.